GAUGAACGCUGGCGGCGUGCCUAAUACAUGCAAGUCGAACGAACGGACGAGAAGCUUGCUUCUCUGAUGUUAGCGGCGGACGGGUGAGUAACACGUGUAUAACCUACCUAUAAGACUGGUAUAACUUCGGGAAACCGGAGCUAAUACCGGAUAAUAUUUUGAACCGCAUGGUUCAAAAGUGAAAGACGGUCGUGCUGGCUCUUAUAGAGGGAUCCCCGCUGCAUUAGCUAGUUGGGAAGGUAACGGGUUUCCAAGGCUACGAUGCAUAGACGACCUCAGAGGGGGGUAGGCCACCCUGGAGGUUGGCCGCCGUCCUGGCGCCUGCGAGAGGCCGCAGUAGCGUAUGUUCCGCAGUGGGCGGAAGCAUGACGGAGCAGCGCCGCGUGAGUGGUGAAGGUCUUCGGAGCGUAAAGCUCUGUUAUUAGGGAAGAACAUAUGUCUAAGUAGAUGUGCACAGCUUGACGGUACCUAAUCAGAAAGCCACGGCUAACUACGUG
This 497-nucleotide ribosomal RNA is filed under the name uncultured bacterium. RNAcentral's name for it is "partial 16S ribosomal RNA". It matches the Rfam family "Bacterial small subunit ribosomal RNA", at positions 28 to 507 of the family's 1533-position model. The record is from RNAcentral.